CUUGUUCUUUAGAGGAAGUAAAAGUCGUAACAAGGUCUCCGUAGGUGAACCUGCGGAGGGAUCAUUACACAAUAAAAUACGAAGGCCGUUCGCGGCUGGACUAUUUAUUACCCUUGUCUUUUGCGCACUUGUUGUUUCCUGGGCGGGUUCGCUCGCCACCAGGACCACAAUAUAAACCUUUUUUAUGCAGUUGCAAUCAGCGUCAGUAUAACAAAUGUAAAUCAUUUACAACUUUCAACAACGGAUCUCUUGGUUCUGGCAUCGAUGAAGAACGCAGCGAAAUGCGAUACGUAGUGUGAAUUGCAGAAUUCAGUGAAUCAUCGAAUCUUUGAACGCACAUUGCGCCCUUUGGUAUUCCAAAGGGCAUGCCUGUUCGAGCGUCAUUUGUACCCUCAAGCUUUGCUUGGUGUUGGGCGUUUUUGUCUUUGGCCCGCCAAAGACUCGCCUUAAAAUGAUUGGCAGCCGGCCUACUGGUUUCGCAGCGCAGCACAUUUUUGCGCUUGCAAUCAGCAAAAGAGGACGGCAAUCCAUCAAGACUCCUUCUCACGUUUGACCUCGGAUCAGGUAGGGAUACCCGCUGAACUUAAGCAUAUCAAUAAGCGGAGGA
RNAcentral lists this ribosomal RNA (607 nucleotides) under uncultured fungus. RNAcentral's name for it is "eukaryotic LSU rRNA". The stretch from base 230 to 383 matches the Rfam family "5.8S ribosomal RNA". Lineage: Eukaryota; Fungi. The record is from RNAcentral.